UACCCGCUGAACUUAAGCAUAUCAAUAAGCGGAGGAAAAGAAACCAACAGGGAUUGCCUUAGUAACGGCGAGUGAAGCGGCAAAAGCUCAGAUUUGAAAUCUGGUGUCGUUAGACAUCCGAGUUGUAAUCUGUAGAGAAGUACUUUAUGUCAGACAUUAGCUUAAGUCCUUUGGAAUAGGGCGUCAUAGAGGGUGAGAAUCCCGUGCAUGGCUUUUGUUCUUUCAUUUGUAAGUCUUCUUCAACGAGUCGAGUUGUUUGGGAAUGCAGCUCUAAAUGGGUGGUAAAUUUCAUCUAAAGCUAAAUAUUGGCAAGAGACCGAUAGCGCACAAGUAGAGUAAUCGAAAGAUGAAAAGAACUCUGGACAGAGAGUUAAACAGUACGUGAAAUUGUUGAAAGGGAAGCACUUGCUACCAGACACACUUGCAGUUGAUCAGCCUAUAAUUUUAUUGGUGCACUUAGCUGUACGUGGGUCAGCAUCAGUUUUGUUGGAGGGAAAAAGAUUGGAGAAAUGUAGCUUCACUUGUGAAGUAUUAUAGUCUCCGGUUAGUACCACCUGAUGAGACUGAGGACCGCACUUUUGUGAGGAUGCUGGCAUAAUGGUCGUAAGUGACCCGUCUUGAAACACGGACCAAGGAGUCUAACAUCUAUGCGAGUAUUUGGGUUAAAAAACCCUUAUGCGAAAUGAAAGUGAAUGUAGGUGGGAACCGCAAGGUGCACCAUCGACCGAUCCUGAUGUUUUCGGAUGGAUUUGAGUAGGAGCAUAGCUGUUGGGACCCGAAAGAUGGUGAACUAUGCCUGAAUAGGGUGAAGCCAGAGGAAACUCUGGUGGAGGCUCGCAGCGGUUCUGACGUGCAAAUCGAUCGUCAAAUUUGGGUAUANGGGCGAAAGACUAAUC
RNAcentral lists this ribosomal RNA (896 nucleotides) under Adelphella babingtonii. RNAcentral's name for it is "partial 25S ribosomal RNA". It matches the Rfam family "Eukaryotic large subunit ribosomal RNA", at positions 22 to 936 of the family's 3401-position model. The record is from RNAcentral. Lineage: Eukaryota; Fungi; Ascomycota; Pezizomycetes; Pezizales; Pezizaceae.